RNAcentral lists this ribosomal RNA (402 nucleotides) under bacterium. RNAcentral's name for it is "partial 16S ribosomal RNA". It matches the Rfam family "Bacterial small subunit ribosomal RNA", at positions 355 to 776 of the family's 1533-position model. The record is from RNAcentral.
UGGGGAAUUUUGCACAAUGGGGGAAACCCUGAUGCAGCGACGCCGCGUGAUUGAGAAGGCCUUCGGGUUGUAAAAAUCUUUUCUAGGGGAAGAAAAUGACAGUACCAUAGGAAUAAGGACCGGCUAAUUACGUGCCAGCAGCCGCGGUAAUACGUAAGGUCCGAGCGUUGUCCGGACUCAUUGUGCGUAAAGGGUACGUAUGCGGGUAAGCAAGUUAGAAGUGAAAUCCUAUAGCUCAACUAUACUAAGCUUUUAAAACUGCUCAUCUUGAUGUAUGGAAGGGAAAGUGGAAUUCCUAGUGUAGCGGUGAAAUGCGCAGAUAUUAGGAGGAAUACCGGUGGCGAAGGCGACUUUCUGGCCAUACCCUGACGCUGAGGUACGAAAGCGUGGGUAGCAAACAGG